Vibrio sp. is the source of this 169-nucleotide non-coding RNA. It matches the Rfam family "Vibrio RNA AS7". Rfam says of the family: Identified by direct cloning an parallel sequencing experiments with 5S/tRNA depletion. Confirmed by Northern blot. NCBI's taxonomy places the organism in Bacteria, Pseudomonadati, Pseudomonadota, Gammaproteobacteria, Vibrionales, Vibrionaceae. The record is from Rfam.
GGGGUCUGAAGAAGCAGCUUAUCUCGCUCCUCAAUAUCUCCACCGAUGUGGUAUGGAAGGCCACAGUUUGCGAAGGAUACAAAUUCGCCACGUUCAAACAUUAUAAUCUGUGCAUCUUCGCUUAAACGGCGUGCUCGUGCUGCCGCUGAUGCGCCACCGGCUACGCCGC